Molecule: ribosomal RNA, 254 nt
Filed under: uncultured bacterium
Lineage: Bacteria
Description: partial 16S ribosomal RNA
Rfam family: Bacterial small subunit ribosomal RNA
Source: RNAcentral
UACGAAGGGGGCGAGCGUUAUUCGGAAUUACUGGGCGUAAAGGACGCGUAGGCGGUCUAUUAAGUCAGCUGUUAAAUUCCAGGGCCUAACCCUGGGUAUGCAGAUGAUACUGAUUGGACUAGAGUAUGGAAGAGAGGGGUGGAAUUCUCGGAGUAGCGGUAAAAUGCGUAGAUCUCGAGAGGAACACCGAUGGCGAAGGCAGCCCCUUGGUCCAAUACUGACGCUGAGGCGUGAAAGCGUGGGGAGCAAACAGG